AAACCACAAGGGGAGCCGAAGCUCCCCCAGAAGUGUUUGCGUGCUCUAUUUUUAUUAUUGGUUUCGGGCUUCUUGUUUUUGUUUAACGCCCUUGUCACCUGGUUAACCCAAGAUGACCCUCCCAAUCGGGAGCCAAGAGCAAACGGAUUGCUUUGGUCGCUGUGUUGCAAUGAUCGAUGAUCCAACCAGUUCAGGCUCUGCCUUAGGGCAGUU
RNAcentral lists this unclassified non-coding RNA (213 nucleotides) under Pseudomonas sp. NFIX51. RNAcentral describes it as "Pseudomonas sRNA P29". Lineage: Bacteria; Pseudomonadati; Pseudomonadota; Gammaproteobacteria; Pseudomonadales; Pseudomonadaceae. RNAcentral also lists the same sequence under 1 other name. The record is from RNAcentral.